This 586-nucleotide ribosomal RNA is filed under the name uncultured bacterium. RNAcentral describes it as "partial 16S ribosomal RNA". It matches the Rfam family "Bacterial small subunit ribosomal RNA", at positions 355 to 1375 of the family's 1533-position model. The record is from RNAcentral.
UGGGGAAUUUUGGACAAUGGGCGAAAGCCUGAUCCAGCAAUGCCGCGUGUGUGAAGAAGGCCUUCGGGUUGUAAAGCACUUUUGUCCGGAAAGAAAUCCUUGGCUCUAAUACAGUCGGGGGGAUGACGGUACCGGAAGAAUAAGCACCGGCUAACUACGUGCCAGCAGCCGCGGUAAUAUGUAGGGUGCAAGCGUUAAUCGGAAUUACUGGGCGUAAAGCGUGCGCAGGCGGUUUGCUAAGACCGAUGUGAAAUCCCCGGGCUCAACCUGGGAACUGCAUUGGUGACUGGCAGGCUAGAGUAUGGCAGAGGGGGGCAGAAUUCCACGUGUAGCAGUGAAAUGCGUAGAGAUGUGGAGGAAUACCGAUGGCGAAGGCAGCCCCCUGGGCCAAUACUGACGCUCAUGCACGAAAGCGUGGGGAGCAAACAGGAUUAGAUACCCUGGUAGUCCACGCCCUAAACGAUGUCAACUAGUUGUUGGGGAUUCAUUUCCUUAGUAACGUAGCUAACGCGUGAAGUUGACCGCCUGGGGAGUACGGUCGCAAGAUUAAAACUCAAAGGAAUUGACGGGGUCAUAGCUGUUUCCU